UUUUUUUUUUUUUUUUUUGUAAACUGAACCAAAUUAAGAAUAAAACAGAACCAAACCAAACUGAAAAAAUUGGUUCUGUUUGGUUCGGUUGGAUCAAUUCCUGAGCACAUUCUCCUUUCCAUGAUUACAGAGUAAACUCCUAAAGAAUCCACAAUAGAAUUUCUCCAAAUCAUCAAAAAAACACAAAAUAGCCAAAUAGAAAGAAAAAUUAAGAGAUUAAAUCAAAUAUCAAUUAUGUUAAUUAACUCAAAAACUAAAUCAAACAUCAUCAACACAUCACAAAUAGCCAAAUAAAGAGAAAAAUUAAAAGAUUAAGUCAAAUAACAGCUAUGUUAAUUAACUAAAAAACUAAAUCAAACACAUUACACAAAAUACAUUAAUUUGCAAAUUGAUGCACUCAUUUCAUAUAGGCAUUUUAGGGUAGUUUUGCAUCCAUUUUGCCCUUAUAU
RNAcentral lists this unclassified non-coding RNA (449 nucleotides) under Hevea brasiliensis (rubber tree). The record is from RNAcentral. Lineage: Eukaryota; Viridiplantae; Streptophyta; Magnoliopsida; Malpighiales; Euphorbiaceae.